This 376-nucleotide unclassified non-coding RNA is filed under the name uncultured bacterium. RNAcentral's name for it is "contains 16S-23S intergenic spacer region". The record is from RNAcentral.
UCCCCGUUAUCCUGGGCAGUCCCUCCAGAGUUCCCGGCAUAACCCGUUGGCAACUGGAGGCGGGGGUUGCGCUCGUUGCGGGACUUAACCCAACACCUCACGACACGAGCUGACGACAGCCAUGCACCACCUGUGUAAAGCCCCGAAGGACACCGUAUUUCUACGGCUUUUCUCUACAUGUCAAGCCCAGGUAAGGUUCUUCGCGUCGCAUCGAAUUAAGCCACAUGCUCCGCCGCUUGUGCGGGCCCCCGUCAAUUCCUUUGAGUUUCAGCCUUGCGGCCGUACUCCCCAGGCGGGGUACUUCCUGCGUUAGCGCCGGCACCCAAGGGGUCGCUCCCCCAGGCACCUAGUACCCAUCGUUUACGGCGUGGACUAC